GCCGCCCACCUCUUUCCUUUUCUUCUUCUUCUAUUUGUCGCAGCCGCCGAUCAUCUCCCUCUCUUCCCUUCCGUCCGUCGAAGCCAAGGCCGCCGCGUGAACCUGUAACCGCCGGCUGUCUCCCCUCUCCUUUCUCCUCUGUUUUCUGCCCAGCGUCGUGUGACCCUCUGCCCAGCACCGCGUGACCCUCCGCCCAGUGCCGUGUGACCCUCUCCCAGCACCGCGCAACCUUUGUCUCGCGCCGUUGUCCAGAUCUGCAACGCCGUGUCCCCACCGGUAGCCGAUCUCUUCCUAAAUUGCGUGUCCCCUAUCAAGUCGUCGUUCUUCUGCUCGUUGGAAGACGGAGUUACGAUUUGAAGCCGAUUUUCUUUUCCGGUUGAGUCGCAUUCAGUGUUGCUCUAUUUACAGCCGUUUGAUUCGUUCUUGAUUGUCAUUUUUGCCUUGCCGUGAACCAUUGGGCUCAUAUUUGGGUACAUCUUAAUUCAGUGAGCGAAUCCUUGAUUUUCCAAAAGGUUGAAGUGGAAUUGAUUUUCCACUUCUUGGUUUGCCCUUAUUUGGAUUGUUUCGUGGACGAUAGUUGAUUAAGGAGCUUCCCUAACUUUGAGGCAAAGGUAAUAAAGGCGACAAACCGGCGAGGGGCAGGAAGGAAGCGUGAUUGCCAUAGGGGAUAUUUUAAUUUGCUUCCGCUUAAUGUUUUGUUUCUCAUGUUUUGUUUUAGUACUUGAGAUUGUUUAGAAAAUUUUAUAGUUGAACUGUAUUCACGAAUUAGUAAACUUUUCUUGAAAGUGUUGGCUAUUUUAAACAGGGCCCAAAUAUAAAUUUUUGUUUUCUUUGAGACUUUGAAAUUA
Long non-coding RNA from Cucumis sativus (cucumber), 848 nucleotides. RefSeq lists it as uncharacterized. NCBI's taxonomy places the organism in Eukaryota, Viridiplantae, Streptophyta, Magnoliopsida, Cucurbitales, Cucurbitaceae. The transcript has 4 exons. The record is from RefSeq and is a predicted model, not a curated record.